This 266-nucleotide ribosomal RNA is filed under the name uncultured bacterium. Its description in RNAcentral is "partial 16S ribosomal RNA". It matches the Rfam family "Bacterial small subunit ribosomal RNA", at positions 793 to 1055 of the family's 1533-position model. The record is from RNAcentral.
GUCCACGCCCUAAACGAUGGAUACUCGACAUCAGCGAUACACUGUUGGUGUCUGAGCGAAAGCAUUAAGUAUCCCACCUGGGAAGUACGACCGCAAGGUUGAAACUCAAAGGAAUUGACGGGGUCGCACAAGCGGUGGAGCAUGUGGUUUAAUUUCGAUGAUACGCGAGGAACCUUACCUGGGCGUAGAAUAGCAUUUUGUACCGUGGGUGGAAAGACUCACUUUAUUAGCAAUAUACAAUUUGUAAGGUGCUGCAUGGCUGUCGU